CAAGUUUGUCAUAUUAUGACUCCGACAGCAUCUAAGAUUCUAUUUGGGACUCUGUCUAUUUACUUACUGUAAAUUCAUUGCAAAUGUAUAGAUCGGGGCCUCUCUCCAAACCUACCCACAUUUUUAGCCUGCUAUGUCCCCAACACACAGCCUUUCAUACACACAUGCAUAUGCCCCUGAAAACCCCCGGCCCUGCCCUUGUCUGCUAGCUGCCUCGCAUACACUGGCUCCAUUCUUCCACGCCACAGACGGAGAUGGCUGGUGUGUCGGUGUGUGCAUUGGUGUGUGUGUGUGUGUUAGAGAGUAAUGGUGCAUACAGUGCAUUGAGUGUUCUGGAAAACCAGUGUAUAUGUGUGCUUGUAUGAAAUCUGUGGAUUAACCUCCUAGGACCUGGCGUCCACAUGUGGACAUCACAUUUUGGGUUAUUUAGGCCAAAAUACUCAAUUUUGCUCUACAAGGGCCUGAUAUCUACUUACAAGGACAUUAUACUGAUAGUUUUCUAUCAAAAUUUUAAACGAAUAUCCUCAUAUGUGGCUCUCAUUUUUCUUAGAAACAAAAAUUAGGUAAAAAAAAAAAAAAAAUCUGGUAAUUUUUUGUUUUUACAUUCAUCAGGACCCAAUCAGCCCAAAUAUCAAAGAUAAAUUAAAAAUGCAUGCAAGCAUAUGUGGAAAGGGGAAAAACUGCAGAUGGGUAUAAUUCAACUGGGAGGCUAAUGUGUGUAGGACUGUUUGCAUGUGACAAACGGAUACAUCAUGUCAAAAUGAGUGCAAGUAUUCAGGCAGCUGACCCUCUAUGACCCGCUAUCCCUCUAGCCUACUCCCCCUCACAAACCCAUCCACCCCAAACAGAUCCAAACUUCACUGUGCUGAGACCAGACUACAUGGGCUCUCACGGGAGCUGGACUGUCAUCUCCUGGCAUCAGCUGUAGGAAUGCAUCAUGGCCAUAAAGAGUGCCCUUGACUGCCUUGUCUAUGAUCAUCAUUUGUGAUAAGAGCGUGGUUUCCAGCUGCAACUCAGAGACUGAAGAGCAGUUUACAGCUAUAGAGUCCACAGUGUUCAACUCUGAAGACGAC
This is a long non-coding RNA of Astatotilapia calliptera (eastern happy), 1073 nucleotides long. The record is from Ensembl. Lineage: Eukaryota; Metazoa; Chordata; Actinopteri; Cichliformes; Cichlidae.